CGAACGAAGUGUUGGUGCUUGCACUAACACUUAGUGGCGAACGGGUGAGUAAUACUUGGGAAUCUGCCUUGUAGCGGGGGAUAACGUUUCGAAAGGAACGCUAAUACCGCAUACGUCCUACGGGAGAAAGGAGGGGAUCUUCGGACCUUCCACUAUAAGAUGAGCCCAAGCGAGAUUAGCUAGUUGGUAAGGUAAAGGCUUACCAAGGCGACGAUCUCUAGCUGGUCUGAGAGGAUGAUCAGCCACACUGGGACUGANACACGGCCCAGACUCCUACGGGAGGCAGCAGUGGGGAAUAUUGGACAAUGGGCGAAAGCCUGAUCCAGCCAUGCCGCGUGUGUGAAGAAGGCCUUCGGGUUGUAAAGCACUUUAAGCGAGGAGGAAUGGCUCUGGGUUAAUACCCUUGAGCAGUGACGUUACUCGCAGAAUAAGCACCGGCUAACUCUGUGCCAGCAGCCGCGGUAAUACAGAGGGUGCAGGCGUUAAUCGGAAUUACUGGGCGUAAAGCGCGCGUAGGCGGUUACGUAAGUUGGAGGUGAAAUCCCCGAGCUCAACUUGGGAAUUGCCUUCAAAACUGCGUGGCUAGAGUGUGGGAGAGGAAGGUAGAAUUCCAGGUGUAGCGGUGAAAUGCGUAGAUAUCUGGAGGAAUACCGAUGGCGAAGGCAGCCUUCUGGCUUAACACUGACGCUGAGGUGCGAAAGCUUGGGGAGCAAACAGGAUUAGAUACCCUGGUAGUCCAUGCCGUAAACGAUGUCUACUAGCCGUGGGGGACUUGAUCCUUUAUGGCGCAGCUAACGCAUUAAGUACACCGCCUGGGGAGUACGGUCGCAAGACUAAAACUCAAAUGAAUUGACGGGGG
RNAcentral lists this ribosomal RNA (859 nucleotides) under gamma proteobacterium MH117. Its description in RNAcentral is "bacterial SSU rRNA". It matches the Rfam family "Bacterial small subunit ribosomal RNA", at positions 63 to 919 of the family's 1533-position model. The record is from RNAcentral. Lineage: Bacteria; Pseudomonadati; Pseudomonadota; Gammaproteobacteria.